This 99-nucleotide small nuclear RNA is filed under the name Chinchilla lanigera (long-tailed chinchilla). Lineage: Eukaryota; Metazoa; Chordata; Mammalia; Rodentia; Chinchillidae. The record is from RNAcentral.
GUGGUUUGGCAUCACAUGCUAAUAUUGGAAUGAUACAGAGAAGAUUAGCGUGGCUCCUAUGCAAGAAUGACCCAAAAUUGUGAAAUGUUUCAUAUUUGG